This 427-nucleotide ribosomal RNA is filed under the name uncultured bacterium. RNAcentral's name for it is "bacterial SSU rRNA". It matches the Rfam family "Bacterial small subunit ribosomal RNA", at positions 355 to 776 of the family's 1533-position model. The record is from RNAcentral.
UCGAGGAUAUUUAGCAAUGGACGAAAGUCUGACUAUGCGACGCCGCGUGAGGGAUGAAGGAUUUCGGUUCGUAAACCUCUUUUGGCAGGGAAGAAAAGCUACUUUUAACUGAAGUAGAAAUGACGGUACCUGCAGAAUCAGCCACGGCUAACUCCGUGCCAGCAGCCGCGGUAAUACGGAGGUGGCAAGCGUUACUCGGAAUUAUUGGGUGUAAAGGGCAAGUAGGCGGUUUAGUGUGUGGGGGGUGAAAUACUCCGGCUCAAUCGGAGAACAGCCUUCCAAACUGCUAGACUUGAGUAUGACAGAGGAAAAUGGAAUUCUAGGUGUAAGGGUGAAAUCUGUAGAUAUCUAGAAGAACACCAGCUGCGAAGGCGAUUUUCUGGGUCAUUACUGACGCUAAAUUGCGAAAGCUAGGGGAGCAAACAGA